GACGAACGCUGGCGGCGUGCUUAACACAUGCAAGUCGAACGGAAAGGCCCUGCUCUUGUGGGUUGCUCGAUUGGCGCACGGGUGAGUAACACGCGUGUAUCCCGUCCUUGUCUUUGUGAUAACUCCAGGAAACUCGGGCUAUUACCGGAUAUGAUCUCUUGCUGCACGGUGGGCGUUGGAAAGUUUCGGUGGUGGGGGAUGGACUCGCUGGUUAUGGGCUUGUUGGUCUGGUAGUUGCUUACCAAGCCUUUGACGGGUAGCCGGCAUGAGAGGGUGACCGGCCACAUUGGGACUGAGAUACGGCCCAGACUCCUACGGGAGGCAGCGGUGGAGAGUAUUGCACAAUGGGCGGAAGCCUGAGGUAGCAACGCCGGGUGCGGAAUGCCGUCCUUCGGGUUGUAAACCGAUUUGGCCUGUGACGAAGCGUGAGUGACGGUAAUGGGUAAAGAAGCACCGGCUAACUACGUG
This 468-nucleotide ribosomal RNA is filed under the name uncultured bacterium. RNAcentral describes it as "partial 16S ribosomal RNA". It matches the Rfam family "Bacterial small subunit ribosomal RNA", at positions 28 to 507 of the family's 1533-position model. The record is from RNAcentral.